AGCAGUGUGGCUCAGUGGAAAGAGUCUGGGCUUGGGAGUCAGAGGUCAUGGGUUCUAAUCCCAACUCCGCCG
RNAcentral lists this transfer RNA (72 nucleotides) under Ornithorhynchus anatinus (platypus). It matches the Rfam family "tRNA". Rfam says of the family: Transfer RNA (tRNA) molecules are approximately 80 nucleotides in length. Their secondary structure includes four short double-helical elements and three loops (D, anti-codon, and T loops). The record is from Rfam by way of RNAcentral. Lineage: Eukaryota; Metazoa; Chordata; Mammalia; Monotremata; Ornithorhynchidae.